RNAcentral lists this long non-coding RNA (229 nucleotides) under Olea europaea subsp. europaea. The record is from RNAcentral. Lineage: Eukaryota; Viridiplantae; Streptophyta; Magnoliopsida; Lamiales; Oleaceae.
UAUCUACUGUGGAUACUAAUAGGACCUGAACCAUUAUGGCAAAGAAAAGUUUGAUUCAGAGGAAGGAAAAGAGGCAAAAAUUGGAACAGAAAUAUCAUUUGAUUCGUCGAUCCUAAAAAAAAAAAAUGCAAAGUUUCAUCGUUGAGUGACAAAUGGGAAAUUUAUGGAAAGUUACAAUCCCCACCACGGAAUAGUGCACCUGCACGCCUUCAUCGACGUUAUUUUUCGA